Molecule: ribosomal RNA, 403 nt
Filed under: Verrucomicrobiota bacterium
Lineage: Bacteria; Pseudomonadati; Verrucomicrobiota
Description: Verrucomicrobia bacterium partial 16S ribosomal RNA
Rfam family: Bacterial small subunit ribosomal RNA
Source: RNAcentral
UGGGGAAUAUUGCACAAUGGAGGGAACUCUGAUGCAGCGACGCCGCGUGAACGAAGAAGGCUUUCGAGUCGUAAAGUUCUGUUGCAGGGGAAGAUAAUGACGGUACCCUGUGAGGAAGCCCCGGCUAACUACGUGCCAGCAGCCGCGGUAAUACGUAGGGGGCUAGCGUUAUCCGGAUUUACUGGGCGUAAAGGGUGCGUAGGUGGUCUUUCAAGUCGGUGGUUAAAGGCUACGGCUCAACCGUAGUUAGCCUCCGAAACUGGAAGACUUGAGUGCAGGAGAGGAAAGUGGAAUUCCCAGUGUAGCGGUGAAAUGCGUAGAUAUUGGGAGGAACACCAGUAGCGAAGGCGGCUUUCUGGACUGCAACUGACACUGAGGCACGAAAGCGUGGGUAGCAAACAGG